GAAGCGGCCACACCCGGCUGGCAACAUCCAGCUCCACUCCGAACCUGGAAAUUAAGCAGUCGCGGGCCACAUCAGUACUGGGCUGGGCUUCCCGGGAACGUGCGGUGCUUGCUUCUUUUUCCUUUUUGCGCGGUGCAGGGCUAUUGCCCUGCACCAAUACUACACUCUACACCUAUGUUUGUCCCUGCUAAAACUCUUAAUGUUGAGAUAUUUUAUAAUUUUAUAUUUUUUAUUAAAAAAUGAAAAUUUUUCAUAAGCGAGAUCCCUCGCUGGAGGAAAUUGAGAGUUAAUGGUAGUGUGAAUAGUGUGUGACGAACAAUCCUUUC
RNAcentral lists this ribosomal RNA (326 nucleotides) under Trichomonas vaginalis G3. Lineage: Eukaryota; Parabasalia; Trichomonadida; Trichomonadidae. The record is from RNAcentral.